Molecule: long non-coding RNA, 632 nt
Organism: Homo sapiens (human)
Lineage: Eukaryota; Metazoa; Chordata; Mammalia; Primates; Hominidae
Exons: 3
Source: RefSeq, a predicted model, not a curated record
GUGGUUUCCAGGCCAAUGGAGUUAUGUCACCAGGAAGGUUAUGACUGCCUCUGCUGUGUCACACAGGUCAUGAGGGAAGUGAGGGAAAAUCAGCAGACAGGGGCCUCACCCAACUCCCACAUAGCCCACAGCCUGAAAAGCUGGUCUUUCUCCCACUGUGGCCCCUCAACAGCACUGAGUUUAUUUCCAGGCAGCCAGUGAGCAAGGCUGAGAACUUGCCCCAGGCUACCGGACUCCCAGCUGAGAAAGCAAGCCGACUCAACAGUUCCUCAGCUGUCCCACAGAGCCUGAAGCAGCAAUCCACCUACUUCAAAGGGUCUAUGGAUUCUCUCAGCUUUCCUGGCAUGUUCCUGUGGUGGAAAAUGCAAUCUGGAGUGUUCCUGGGGAGCUCUGCUGUGUAAACCUUGGCUUUACAGUGAGAAGACGGGCUGAUCACAGAUGUGAACCGUCAGGUAACCAGGGCUGCAGUGAGAGCCACAGAUUUCAUGGGAAGUGGAAGAGGAGAUGGAAAGAGAGUCUUGCUGUGUCACCCAGGCUGGAAUGCAGUGUCACGAUCUCAGCUCCCUGCAACCUCUGCUUCCUGGGUUCAAGCGAUUCUCCUGCCUCAGUCUCCUGAGUAGCUGGGAUCACAG